Molecule: ribosomal RNA, 188 nt
Filed under: Trichoderma longibrachiatum
Lineage: Eukaryota; Fungi; Ascomycota; Sordariomycetes; Hypocreales; Hypocreaceae
Description: 5.8S ribosomal RNA
Rfam family: 5.8S ribosomal RNA (bases 32-185)
About the family: 5.8S ribosomal RNA (5.8S rRNA) is a component of the large subunit of the eukaryotic ribosome. It is transcribed by RNA polymerase I as part of the 45S precursor that also contains 18S and 28S rRNA.
Source: RNAcentral
GACCCUAGCGGGCGUCUCGAAAAUGAAUCAAAACUUUCAACAACGGAUCUCUUGGUUCUGGCAUCGAUGAAGAACGCAGCGAAAUGCGAUAAGUAAUGUGAAUUGCAGAAUUCAGUGAAUCAUCGAAUCUUUGAACGCACAUUGCGCCCGCCAGUAUUCUGGCGGGCAUGCCUGUCCGAGCGUCAUUU